This 520-nucleotide long non-coding RNA is filed under the name Homo sapiens (human). RNAcentral's name for it is "HSALNT0034173". Lineage: Eukaryota; Metazoa; Chordata; Mammalia; Primates; Hominidae. The record is from RNAcentral.
UGGCCUCAGCGAAGAUGGGCCGGGCAGGGACCAUGGCGGUGGCAGCAGAGGUGGCAGGGGCGGGGCGGCUGGCGGUAGAGGAGGCUGUGGUCCUCAGGGGGCUGUAGGUGGAGGUAUGGCUCGGGCCAGCAGCGGGAACGGCAGCGAGGAGGCCUGGGGGGCACUUCGGGCGCCGCAACAGCAGACUGAUUCUUGCUAUUCCAAAUCCUCUUCCACGUUGACAGCCCUUCAGAUAUUUCAACACUCCUCUCAGCAUCCUCCACUUCCCCCAUCUCUCCAAGCUGAACUUGGUUCACAGGGUGGGAUUGUCUUCGAGAGCUGUGCCCAGGAGUGAACAACCAGCCCUACCUCUGUGAGAGUGGUCACUGCUGCGGGGAGACUGGCUGCUGCACCUACUACUAUGAGCUCUGGUGGUUCUGGCUGCUCUGGACUGUCCUCAUCCUCUUUAGCUGCUGUUGCGCCUUCCGCCACCGACGAGCUAAACUCAGGCUGCAACAACAGCAGCGGCAGCGUGAAAUCA